Molecule: non-coding RNA, 26 nt
Filed under: Mus musculus (house mouse)
Lineage: Eukaryota; Metazoa; Chordata; Mammalia; Rodentia; Muridae
Source: RNAcentral
UCCAGAAAUCCAGUGGGUGAUUCAGC